This 468-nucleotide ribosomal RNA is filed under the name uncultured bacterium. Its description in RNAcentral is "partial 16S ribosomal RNA". It matches the Rfam family "Bacterial small subunit ribosomal RNA", at positions 28 to 507 of the family's 1533-position model. The record is from RNAcentral.
GACGAACGCUGGCGGCGGGCUUAACACAUGCAAGUCGAACGGAAAGGCCCUGCUUUUGUGUGGUGCUCGAGUGGCGAACGGGUGAGUAACACGUGAGUAACCUGCCCCUGACUUUGGGAUAACUUCAGGAAACUGGGGCUAAUACCGGAUAGCAGCUCCUGCUGCAUGGUGGGGGUUGGACAGUUUCGGCGGAUGGGGAUGGACUCGCGGCUUAUGAGCUUGUUGGUGGGGUAGUGGCUUACCAAGGCUUUGAUGGCUAGCCGGCCUGAGAGGGUGAACGGGCACAUGGGGACUGAGAUACGGACCAGACGGGUACGGGAGGCAGCAGGGGGAAAUAUUGCACAAUGGGGGGGAGCCUGAUGCAGAGGCGCCGCGAGCGGGAUGACGGUCUUCUGGGUGUAAACCGCUUUCACCUAUGACGAAGCGUGUGUGACGGUAAUGGGUAAAGAAGCACCGGCUAACUACGUG